UCCUGGUCACCAGGUCCUCUCCGUCCAGGGCUGAGAGGUCAGCCAGGUGACACCUGUCACCUCAGCAUGACCCAAGGACCCUGCUCGACAUUCCAGAGUCACUGAGCCUGGGGUGCCAGGGAACGGGCACAGGCAACCUUCAGCACUCUGUGAGAGGGCUCCUUCAUCCAGGUUCCUUCUGCCACCCUGAGGCCAGUGAGCCCAGAAUCCCAAGAGGCUGGCGCCCUGGGGGGCUCCCGGACAGAGCUCUCGCUGGACCGGGUCCUCCAGGAGCGUGAUGAUGCCAUUGCCAAGAAGCAGGCCGUGGAGGCGGAGCUGGAGGUGUGCCGAGCCACGCUGCGCACUGUGGAGGCCCAACUGCUGGAGGCCCUGGAGGAGAAACUGAGGCUGAAGCAGGAGGUGGACGCCUGGGAGGAGGACAUGCGGGAGCUCGUGCAACAGCAGGUUCGGCGUCAGCUGCAGAGAGAGCCUGCGGGCGCUCUGCGUGCCUCGGGAGCUGCCAGGGUCCCCAGGGCCCAGCCCCUCCUGGGCUGGUGGAAACAUCGGUGAGCACACUGCCUAACUCUGGGUCUCAGGAGCAGCAUCUUUAUUCAUUAAAGCUUGAGGUCUGGCCCCUCUGUGCCCUGAAA
This is a long non-coding RNA of Echinops telfairi (small Madagascar hedgehog), 629 nucleotides long. RefSeq lists it as uncharacterized. The record is from RefSeq and is a predicted model, not a curated record. Lineage: Eukaryota; Metazoa; Chordata; Mammalia; Afrosoricida; Tenrecidae. The transcript has 4 exons.